RNAcentral lists this long non-coding RNA (272 nucleotides) under Cucumis sativus (cucumber). RNAcentral describes it as "long non-coding RNA (CSAT_LNC000868)". The record is from RNAcentral. Lineage: Eukaryota; Viridiplantae; Streptophyta; Magnoliopsida; Cucurbitales; Cucurbitaceae.
GAGUCUCGAUCGUCGUCCGAAUGACUUUCCACCGUAGAUCGGACCCGUCGAGAUGUGUGUGUAGCCAGAUCCAGCGACCCGAGGUGAGGCCGUUGCAGAUCCGAGUGUGGCGGAGAUACGUUGUUGCGUAGGCGAUCAAACGCUGGAGGUGGGUUGUAUUGCAGAUCUGAGGUGGGUUGCGCCGUCACCUGAUCGUGACCCGAGAGAAGCCGCGUCGCCGUCGUAGUAGCCGCUGCCGGAGAGAAAUGAGAAUUGCAAGAGAAAGAGACAAG